AUCAGAUUUAUUUGGAGAAAACAGAAAUCCCACAACCCAAAGGAUGGGAUUUUACAUCAAGACAUCUCCCAGGCUGACAUUUCUUGGCAACCUACGGAAGCUGUUCUGAUGAGCCUCUGUGUUAGUAAAGAAUACAUCUCUAUAAAUGGACUGCAGUACAGCUGACCUUGGACAGGCUUAUUUGGGCCUAACUGGGUUCUAAGCUUUCUGCUGGGUUCAGCUCUUUGUACUUCAGGCAACAACACCUGAGAGGAUUUUUCUGGCAGGCGAAAAAAUGUUUGCAAUGACUUUGAUGAUACGGUGACUGAGGUUUUGGCAGAAAUGUGAAUAUAAGCAAGCAUACUAUGAGAUACAUGAUCCAGUCACUGUAACCUUCUUUGGAACUAGUAUUGAUCCAGCAGCAGCUUUCAGUACUGAUCCUAAAAACAAAUAAUAUGAUCGGAUCAGAUCAUCACAAAGGGAGCAGGAAUUUGAAGGAUGUAUCUGGGUUAUUCAAACCGAAAACACCUAACUCCAGUUCAUUAAAAAUCAUUUCAUAUUUGUAUAAAAAUAAUUUUUAAAAGAGUCUAGAUGUAGUUAUAAUUUUAAAAGUAGUCAUAUUUCUAGAACCUUCUUUAAAUUCUUGUUAUUUGAAUAUGAAAUUAUUGUAAAUCCAUUGAAUAAAUAACUAUAUUCAUAUAAAAUUUCAAACUAAUACAUACAUUAGAAGUAAGUAUAUUUAUUUCUCAUUGAGAUGAAAUAUUUUUGUCCCACAAUAUUAGAUUUGUAUAUGUGUUUGUGUGUUUGUGUAUUUUAAGUAAUUAAACUUUGAGUUUCAUUUUAAAACUGUGAGAGUAUUUUAUUACAUAAAAAAUUUUCAGACCGAAUGGAAUCUAGAUAUGGAAAGCCUAUCUCUCUCAUAUCUAAAAAUUCUGAUCUAUUUUAGCAGUUUUAUGUGGUUACAUAUAGAAUGAACCCACAGCAUCUAGAUAUUUUUCCAAAUCUGACAAAAAUUUUAGUUACAUCUAGACAAAUAUUUAGACCUCUCGAGUCUAUAAUAUUGCGUGAAAGAAACCCAGUAUAGAAUUUUAUUUUCUUUAUUUUGGGUAAUAUUGUAUUUAAGAUGAC
RNAcentral lists this long non-coding RNA (1107 nucleotides) under Homo sapiens (human). RNAcentral's name for it is "HSALNT0111825". The record is from RNAcentral. Lineage: Eukaryota; Metazoa; Chordata; Mammalia; Primates; Hominidae.